GAGAGACAAAAGGCAUGUCCAAAGCACAGAAGCAAACAACAGAGGUAGAAACAACAAAGCACUGCUCCGGGAAAGCCAGGACCACUUUCCCUCACUUCUAUUUGACUCCUUCAAAAGCGAUGUCCCACUCAAUGUGAACAGCACAUUGUGGAUGCAAGAUGCUAAUGGCGGCGAUCAAUUAUUCACCAGCUAAUCUGUCUGAAGAGGCACUGGAAUGUGGAAUAGGCUCAUCAUGGACCCGCAUUAAUAUUCAGUCAACAGGCCUCACUCUGCACUGCCUACAUGUCAUAUCAGACCCAAGCCCUCCUCAAAGGAGCGAUGUCUAAAUGAGAGCUUUCAAGAGGCUGCUUCUGGAAAUGGACAAUGUCUUUUCACAGAUUAGCUAUUGUUUAAUGCACAGUGAACAUUUUGUAGCACAAAGGACAAUUGCUGCUCGGUUAUGUUUAAUAGUGAUGUUAAAAAGUUGUACAUUUUAUGCAAUGUGAGCGUCCGUUCAAAACACCACCAGUGUUAUGGGUGGUUGCCAGGGCAUUGCUAUGCAGUUGCUGAAGUAUCUAUAAUAUCUGGUGCAUAGACAGAGUGUAAGUAUAUUUGAGAGUUUUGCUCAUUUUAUGAUCCACAAGGUGAAAAAAGUUGGUCAAAACUCUUAGAAAAUUAAGAGAAUGGACUGCACUGACUAUAUGAACAAAAGCACUGAGACAUUUCUUUAAAUAUCUUAUUUUAUGUUCCAUGGAAGAAUGAAAGUCAUACAGGUUUAGAAAUUGGAAUGGCAUGAGGGUAAGUAAAUUAUGACUGUUUUUUUAAAGGAUUUAUUUAAAUGAGUAUGAGCAGUUUAUAAUAGUGAUCGUUUCCUUAGCAAACACCACUAAUAAAUGUCAAAAAACGUGUUUUACUUUAUUACAAUGAAAAGGAAUGGAUCUCAGAAAAGAUGCUUACUAAUAUAUAUAUAAAAAAUAAUUGAAUCACUCCAAACUAUACUAUAGACACACACUAUUGACAUUUCCCAGUACAUUGCCUUUUUUGUUUGUUUGUUUGUUGCAGAUUGUGUUCCCUUGCGUUAGAUCACUGGGUCAGCUCCUGUUCAUGUUACUCACAAAGAAAAUGGCAAAUGUUUGACGGGCGGGGGAUUCCUCUACAAGCACCUGUUCUGCCUCACACAUGCAGAAUUUCCCUAUGCAAUUCUCAUUAUUCAAGCCUGAAGCACACUUUACGGACGUUACAUAUUUGAUGUUGGAUUGCUUCCCAAAACAUGUAUUUAUAUGCAUGCAGGUACAAAUUGAAAGAAUGCAUUGUAAUAUCCACAUUGAUUUUUUUAUAUAAACAUAAGAUUAAAAACA
Cyprinus carpio (common carp) is the source of this 1337-nucleotide long non-coding RNA. RefSeq lists it as uncharacterized. The record is from RefSeq and is a predicted model, not a curated record. Lineage: Eukaryota; Metazoa; Chordata; Actinopteri; Cypriniformes; Cyprinidae. The transcript has 2 exons.